CCUACGGGAGGCAGCAGUGGGGAAUUUUGGACAAUGGGCGCAAGCCUGAUCCAGCAAUGCCGCGUGAGUGAAGAAGGCCUUCGGGUUGUAAAGCUCUUUUGUCAGGGAAGAAACGGACUUUUCUAAUACAGAGGUCUAAUGACGGUACCUGAAGAAUAAGCACCGGCUAACUACGUGCCAGCAGCCGCGGUAAUACGUAGGGUGCAAGCGUUAAUCGGAAUUACUGGGCGUAAAGCGUGCGCAGGCGGUUUUGUAAGUUUGUCGUGAAAUCCCCGGGCUCAACCUGGGAAUGGCGAUGAAGACUGCAAGGCUAGAGUUUGGCAGAGGGGGGUAGAAUUCCACGUGUAGCAGUGAAAUGCGUAGAUAUGUGGAGGAACACCGAUGGCGAAGGCAGCCCCCUGGGUCAAAACUGACGCUCAUGCACGAAAGCGUGGGGAGCAAACAGGAUUAGAUACCCUGGUAGUCCACGCCCUAAACGAUGUCUACUAGUUGUCGGGUCUUAAUUGACUUGGUAACGCAGCUAACGCGUGAGUAGACCGCCUGGGGAGGACGGUCGCGAAGUAAGUUAAACUUAAAUUAGUAAGUUAGUUAGGCGUUGAGAGNGCCGACGGACGACGACGAGGGAGGAGG
Molecule: ribosomal RNA, 630 nt
Filed under: uncultured bacterium
Lineage: Bacteria
Description: bacterial SSU rRNA
Rfam family: Bacterial small subunit ribosomal RNA (bases 1-541)
Source: RNAcentral